GUGUCAGCAGCCGCGGUAAUACGUAGGGGGCAAGCGUUGUCCGGAUUUACUGGGUGUAAAGGGUGCUCAGGUGGUUGUGUAAGUCAGGGGUGAAAUCCUGGAGCUUAACUCCGGAACUGCCCUUGAUACUACAUAGCUUGUGUACGGAAGAGGCUGAUGGAAUUCCUGGUGUAGCAGUGAAAUGCGUAGAUAUCAGGAAGAACACCAGUGGCGAAGGCGGUCAGCUGGUCCGUUACAGACACUAAAGCACGAAAGCGUGGGGAGCAAACAGGAUUAGAUACCCCCGUAGUCC
This 292-nucleotide ribosomal RNA is filed under the name uncultured bacterium. RNAcentral describes it as "partial 16S ribosomal RNA". It matches the Rfam family "Bacterial small subunit ribosomal RNA", at positions 505 to 796 of the family's 1533-position model. The record is from RNAcentral.